GUUUCUUCUGUGUAACCUAGAGGGCACCGCUAAGCGGGAUGGAACCUGUGACCUCUAGGGACCUCACUGGGGAUGGGGCCUAUGACCUUCAAGCCCACCCCUGGGUUGGGACCUGUGACCUCGUGGGAGACCCACUUCAAAAGGCAGGAGUCGUGAUCAGAUGACCGAUCCCACAAAGUGGGAAAAGAGCUUACAUCCACAGCAGCUCUUCAGGAAGAUGUCAUGGCUACCUUGUUAGCUGCAAGGAGGAGCAUCAUAGACGUUCCAGUUCCUAACAACUACUACUUCCUGUGUCUCUGGCCCAGCAUGUAGCAGAAGGCUAUCUGCUGUUCCUUGGUGUUUCAGCAGCAGUGAUCCCAGGAUGCCAGAGCUGAAUCCCUUCUGUAGCUACUAGGCUAGUCUGUGGUGCCUGUGCAGUAUGACAUGGAUACUGAAAAUGAGAAGUAAGGCCUGGCUGACCUGACCAUGUUGACACCUAGUGAGAAGUGAAGCAGAAUUUGUACCUUAAUUGAGCAGAUUUGAAGCCUCGUGUACUUCUAUUUUUUUUUUUUUCCUCAUGUACUUCUAAAAGGAAUCAGCAGUAUCUUGUUCUUGGCCUGGGCUAUGUGUCUGAGAGAGUUUUCUGGGUCCAGGUUUGGGCCCCAUUUUUUUCUGCCUCCAGAAUAAGCCUGGCUGAAGGGCUUCAGGCCCUUCUGGCAUCUCCCAAAUGAAAAAUGAGAUAUUUAAUAAACAUGGUUUUAAAUGUGUGAUUCA
Ictidomys tridecemlineatus (thirteen-lined ground squirrel) is the source of this 753-nucleotide long non-coding RNA. RefSeq lists it as uncharacterized. The record is from RefSeq and is a predicted model, not a curated record. Lineage: Eukaryota; Metazoa; Chordata; Mammalia; Rodentia; Sciuridae.